Molecule: long non-coding RNA, 406 nt
Organism: Callorhinchus milii (elephant shark)
Lineage: Eukaryota; Metazoa; Chordata; Chondrichthyes; Chimaeriformes; Callorhinchidae
Exons: 3
Source: RefSeq, a predicted model, not a curated record
UGGCUGUACAUAGAGGGGUGGAGAACCGUCUCACUGGGUUGAGUUGGUGAGAGAGUGUAGUAUUAACCUCUAUGUCAGAAUUCUUCCACAUCUCACUGGAUGAAUGUUAUCAGAUGUACCGCAAGCUGGGGUCAGAUGUAUCCAAGCAGAACACCAUAGUGGAAGCAGCGAAAAUAAGCUGGAGCCAUGCCUUUCAUGAGAGCCAUCCUUGGGAAACAAUACUGAAAAACCCAUCAUGGAACAGGAGAGCCCAGUGAUUCAAGAAAAAGCUAGCUGAUGUGAACAUGGCAUAACCAGUCAACAAAGCUUUGUCAGUGGCAACACAACUAUCAAAACAGAAUUCAGAAGAUACGCAGGUCCUGGGAACUGUGAGCAAUGGCAAGGAAUAUCUUUGAUCAAAUAAAAU